RNAcentral lists this long non-coding RNA (1043 nucleotides) under Bemisia tabaci. Its description in RNAcentral is "lncRNA ENSSSA2NGG009234". The record is from RNAcentral. Lineage: Eukaryota; Metazoa; Arthropoda; Insecta; Hemiptera; Aleyrodidae.
CUUGAAUUUCGACUUAAAGAGCACCGAGACUUGAUAGAGAUAAACUAAUUCGACAUCUAAACUCUGAACGAUAGAAAUCAUUCGUGAUGAUUUAGAAAUAAUUUGACUUAUUCUUCAAACUAUAGAAGAGUUAGGGAGUUGUUAAGUGACAAAAUUAGCAGGAUAUCUUCCGUUAGAGGUCUCACCUGAGUGAUUCUGUCGGCAUUGAUCUGGUCAAUUGUCGGCGCACGACUUUUCGUUUUUAACGCGUCAGGUUGUUUCACCAUUUCGGACGAUUUAAAAGCACAUUAAAACAGGUAUUAAACGGUAAAAUAAUCGCAAAUAACACUGAAAAAAUUACACAUGCUCCCUCAUGCUCGAAAUUUUCGUGCCAAAACGCAAGUAGUAAACAAACGGAUGACCGGACUGAUGAUUGAUGCAAUUACGGGAGGUGGAUGAUGGAAGACACCGUUUUUCGCAAGAAGAAGAAUAAUUUUUCAAACAAAUAUUGUUGAAACUUGCGUGUUGUCCGUCGUAAUUUUCAGAGAAUGUGGAUUUGUCUUGCUCCUAAUUGUAAUGAUAAGUCUUGUAUAUCAAUUUCUGCACUAAAUGUUCCAGUGUGUGAGUCCUAAGCGCUUUUUCAAACAACUUUAACAAUGUGACAAAUGGGUGCAUACAUGGAAGGUUCAUGAAUGAAGGCCGAGUCUUGAACUCCCAAAAGAAGAAGACAUGACUGAAGGUGUCAAGAAGGCAAAUGCAGCCUCCUCGAGAGAUAAUGAAGUUUCUUCAGGAGGGCAUUCCAAGAAAAAAGCGAAAGGGGAGAAAUUUCCAACCAAAGUUAGUAGUAAUUUCCUUCUCAUAAAUGAUAAUCUUUUUUCUCUUUCUCCCUCACUCACCCCAGAGAAUGAACCAAAAUUGUAUUUGAAUCCUGCUGUUUUUCUCUACUGAGUUGGCAGUUAUCUACUUUUCAUUUCCAAGCAGCUGCCCUUCCUCCUACCCUGCUAUCCGAGAUUGAUCUUAGAUUGUCUGACAGGAAUCAUACAGAUGUGCAUAGAAAAACGUCA